GGUCCAAUUGCGAAGUGGCCCACGCUUGCGUAAGUUGAGAAAUAAUUCAACUGCCGUGCAGGAGACGCUCGUUCGAUUCGGGCUUGGACCG
Molecule: non-coding RNA, 91 nt
Organism: Mycena latifolia
Lineage: Eukaryota; Fungi; Basidiomycota; Agaricomycetes; Agaricales; Mycenaceae
Source: the annotation of a GenBank genome assembly